UACGGGGGGAGCAAGCGUUGUUCGGAUUUACUGGGCGUAAAGGGCGUGUAGGCGGCCACCGCAAGUCGGUUGUGAAAUCUCUGGGCUUAACCCAGAAAGGUCAACCGAUACUGCGGGGCUAGAGUGCAGAAGGGGCAACUGGAAUUCUCGGUGUAGCGGUGAAAUGCGUAGAUAUCGAGAGGAACACCUGCGGCGAAGGCGGGUUGCUGGGCUGACACUGACGCUGAAGCGCGAAAGCUAGGGGAGCGAACGGG
This 254-nucleotide ribosomal RNA is filed under the name uncultured bacterium. Its description in RNAcentral is "partial 16S ribosomal RNA". It matches the Rfam family "Bacterial small subunit ribosomal RNA", at positions 524 to 776 of the family's 1533-position model. The record is from RNAcentral.